ACCAGCCCACUCAACAAGAAAUCUGUUAAAAGAUGUGAAUGUAGCUUUAGGCAACUAUGGUCUUUCAUAGUUUUCACAAUUCCAAAGCGCGGUUUUGAAUGAGAGACAGAGAGAGCGGGAGAGAAAGCGAAGAGAGAAAUACUUAUUUAUCUAUAUAUCUCUCGCUGAACAUUUUAAUAACAUUCGAUACGGGUAGUAGCGAAAUGUCUUCUACCACACUAAGAGCGGCGGUGAAUUUUUGAAAACUUCAGUAUUCUUCAAACAAUUCUACAACUUUCCUCCUUUCCCUGACUCACACGCUCGCCAAGCUCAAUUAAUAUCGUCCGACGGGGUUUGAUCUCAGAAUCGACGGUCUUAUAAUUUGCAUUCGGCAGCUGUAACGGAAACAUACGAAUGUAGCCGAAGUGUGUGUUGGUAUAAUGGCUGACAGUGGACUGUACUCACGGACUACUACAGUGAUGUACAGGGAGUUUAAGUUUUCUUGAUAGAAUAUGGAAAUGUGAGCCAUGAGCUCGUGUGAACAAACGGAAGAUAAUAUAAGUGAUAGUGAGGUGGCUCAUUAUUACAAACCAGCCCAACAUCCUGCUAAGGAGUUAUUUGGGUUGGCAGCUCUACUUUAUGAAGGUGGUAGAAGAAAUGAUGGAUUGAAAGCAGCCGAUAUUGUUCCAAUUCUCAGAGAAAGAGUUGCAUAUCUUUCAGGUGGCCGAAAUAAGCAAGGUGGCCCAAUUUUGACAUUCCCUUCACACACUCAUCCUGAAAGAUUAAAAUAUGAAGAUUUACGACGACUCAUGACCUAUCUUGCCAGUGUGCCAAGUGAUGAUGUCCGAGAGCAAGGAUUUACCAUCAUUCUUGAUAUGAGAGGUUCCACAUGGCAAACAGUAAAACCUAUACUUAAAGCCUUGCAGGAAUGUUUUCCUGGCAAUAUUCAAAUGGCAUUCAUUAUCAAGCCUGAAAAAUUUUGGGAGAAGCAAAGAACCAGUUUGGGAAGUGCCAAGUACAACUUUGAAACCAAUAUGUUAUCAGUUGAUAAUCUUUCCAAAUUUAUCGAUUCAUCUCAGCUUACGAGAGAAUUUGAUGGUACUCUGGAUUAUGAUCAUGAACAGUGGAUUCAACUCCGACUGAUGUUGGAGGAAUUUAUCUGGAAAGCAUUAGACCUUCUAGACAAACUCGAUGAGUUAGCAGAAAUCCUGACAUGUCCGGAGUUACCUGAUGAUUUAAAUGGUGCCCAGAUUCAGUUAGAGCACCACAACCAGCUGAAGAAAAGAGUCACCAAAGCUCCAGUUGAACAAUUGACAAUGGAAGGGCAUCACAUUCUGAAGACAAUCACUGGAGAAGAAGAUAAUUUAUCUGGUGAUUAUUGCUCUAGUCAUAAACUCUUUGUGAUAUCUGGAAAUGCUGAUUUCCAGAGUGCUGUCCCUCAGAUUUCUCACCUUUUGGACAAUCUCCAGUCGACUAAGCAGCACCUAAAUCAGUUGUGGAUAAAUAAAAAAGCUCGACUUGAACAAUGUCUACAGCUGCGGGUAUUUGAGAAUGAUGUGGAGAAGAUGUUUGAAUGGAUUUCUCAUAACAGAGACAUGUUCCUAAUAAAUUACACAGAAAUUGGCCCAACCCAUCAAAUGGCAUUGGAUUUAGACCAAGAACAUAACCAAUUUGCUGCCAGUGCAAUGUGGUGCCUUCAGGACAUGUACAUGAAUAUUAACCGCAUCUUAAGUGUUGCUCAGCGGCUGUGUGAUACUGGUCAUUAUGGUGCCAAUGAAAUCCGCCAACAGGCCAGCAAACUGGAGAGGGAUUGGAAGACUUUAGCAGCAGCUGUUGAUGAUCGUAGCACUGUCCUUAGUAUGUCUGUGAUUUUUCAUAAACGUGCAGAACAGUAUCUUGCUCAAGUCCAUGAGUGGAGGCUAGCCUGUGAGAGUCCUCAGAUUCCAUCAUCCAUUAAAGACCUAGAGGAAGCCUUACAACAACACCAGACAUUAAUUGAAACCAUCAGCCAAGCCUAUGCUGAGGUAUGUGCUGAUGGGAAGGCAUUAUUGGAUACACUUCAAACGCCAGUUACUUCAAGUAGUAACAAUUCUAUUACAGCCAAGGCUGAUUAUUCAGAAGCAGCAGGACAUGUCCUAGAUGUUAUUCAUGAUGUUCUAGCUCAUCAACGUCAUUUAGAACAUCUGUGGCAUAACAAGAAAGUGAAGUUGCACCAGAGGUUAGGUUUGCGCUUGUUUCAGCAAGAUGUCAAACAGGUGAUUGAUUGGCUUGAUAACCAUGGUGAUGUUUUCCUGAAGAAAAAUACAUCUAUAGGAAAAACUUUGCAAAGGGCUAAAGCUUUACAAAAGAGCCACGAGCAUUUUGAAUCUGUUGGACAAAACACAAUAACAAAUGCUGAUAAACUACUAGCUGCUGCUGAUGAACUUGCUCAAACUGGUGAAUGUGAUCCCAAGGAAAUAUACAGUGAAGCCCAGGAACUUGAAGAGCGCAUGCAUGAUUUCAUCACUGCUCUAGAAAGGAGAAGGGCUAUACUUGAUAUGACUGUCUCAUUUUAUACACAUGUUCAUGAGUUAACAUCUUGGCUAGAAGAAUUGCAACAAGAACUGCAAAGUUCAGAAAUAGCUGAUACAGUGGAAGGAGCAGAGCACUUAGUAACACAGUUCAAUGAUCAAAGGGAGACAACUAUUGAAGCAGCUAUUAGUACGGUCAGAGAAGGAGAAAGUUUACUUGAACGGAUAAGACUUCAGCCGCUUGUUGGGUGCAGCCAGUGCUGUCACUUGCGCCACCAGCGAAUUGAUGUUUCUUCCACAAUGCACAAAGGUGGUUUUGGAAUGGAUCCAGAAAAAGUCAACCCAAAUUCUGAUUAUUGUCAUAUAGAAGGUGUUCUACAACAACUUAAUGAAAGUCGUGCACAGUUGGAGGAACUAUGGGCCACCCGCAAACGGAAAUUGGAUCUGUGCUUAAAAUUACGUCUUUUUGAAAGGGAUGCAUUAGAGGUAUCAUCACAAUUGGAGUUAUGGGCAGAAGAACUACAGCACAUGGAAAUGUGCAAUGAUCCAGCAAAAGCAGAACAGAUCUUACUGAUGCACACAGAAAAUUUAUUGCACAUGCAGAACUGUACAUUUGAAGUUCUGCAACGAGGUCAAGAGCUUUGUCAGUUGUUUGAAAACACAGGUGUGCAAUUAAUGGCUGAUUCACAAUAUGAUGCUCAGACUAGAAUCCAACUAUUGCUGGAAUAUUUGCAUGAACGAGAAUUGGAUUUAGAGAAUUUGGCUGAAAGUCGUCGCAUUCGUCUGGAGCAAUGUGUCCAGCUACGUAAUUUUGAGUAUGAAACCAGGCAGGUGGUUUCUUGGAUUCAAAAUGGAGAGACAAUGUUGACUGCCAGUUUUAUGUGUCCAGAUAAUUUAAUGGAAACUGAACAACUGAAGAAAGAACAUGAAAAGUUUAUGUUGGCUAUUGAGAAAACACAUGCAAAUGUGAUCCAAGUCACUCAAAAGGCAGAGAGCAUGAUCCAAAGCAACCAUUACAAUUCUGAAUUUGUACGUGUUAUCGCAGAAAAUAUGAAUUUAGUUUGGCAACAGCUAAUGUAUCAUGCUGAAGAACGUCACAAACUUGUAAUGGCAUCAAUGACUUGGUAUAAAACAGCUGAACAAGUUUGGUCAGUUUUAGAAAGUUUAGAUCGAGAUUAUAAACGAGAUGAAGAUUGGUGUAGCACAGACAAGGCUAACUGCACUGACAAAGCUGCAUUCUUAGUACAAGCAAUCAAUAAGCAUAAUGAACAAAAGGAAGCCUUUCUUAAGGCUUGCACUUUAGCCAGACGUACAGCAGAGACAUUCUUAAAAUAUGUCAACCGCAACCUUCACACUUUGGGAAUGGAUGUGAAGUACAGAAAUCCAGAAUCUCAUGUAAAAGCAACUCUUGAUCAAUUACUACAACAGGAAAAUGCUGUAAUUGAAUAUUGGACUGUAAAGAAACGAAAGUUAGAACAUUGUCAUCAGUAUGUCCUUUUUGAACAAAGUGCCAAACAGGCAUUAGACUGGAUCCAUGAUUCAGGCGAGGCAUACUUGUCAACACACACGUCUGUUGGUGAAACCAGAGAAGAAACAGAGUCACUGUUAAGAGAAUACUAUGAGUUUCGUGGCAGGGCCAAGGAAACUAAAGAAAAUGUCAGUCUUUUGCUUCAACUGGCUGAUGGUUUUGUUUCUAAAGGCACAUUUCAUGCCAGCAGCAUCAUGGCAUGGUGUGCUGCUGUAGAUAAACGAUAUAAAGACUUCUCUUCUCGCAUGGAGAAAUACAGACAAAAACUAGAAGGCAAACUCGGUGUCACAAAUGAAACUGAGAAAGAAGACAGGCAAAGUGAUCCUUCAAUUGAAGAAAAACUUCAACAGCAUGCUCCUAAGGAACUUACUGAAGAAAAAAGAAAGUCUGCUAGACGACGAGAAUUUAUCAUGGCUGAAUUACUACAAACUGAGAGAUCAUAUGUGAAAGAUUUAGAAACUUGUAUGAAGUAUUACAUGGGUGAAAUGUUAAAUCAACAAAAUAAUAUUCCACCUGGCAUUGAAAACAAAACUGAUACAAUAUUUAGUAAUAUUAGAGAAAUAUAUGAAUUCCAUGACAAAACAUUCUUAAAAGAGUUAGAAAAAUAUGAGACUAUUCCGGAAGAUGUUGGGCAUUGUUUUGUCACAUGGGCAGAAAAGUUUUCUAUAUAUGUACUAUACUGCAAAAACAAGCCAGAUUCAAGUCAGCUUCUUAUGGAACAUGCUGGGACUUUCUUCGAGGAAAUACAACAAAAACAUAAACUGAGUGAACCAUUAUCAUCGUAUUUGAUCAAACCAGUUCAAAGGAUCACGAAAUAUCGAUUGCUUCUAAAGGAUUUGCUUUCCUGUUGUGAAAAUGAUACUGGAGAAAUUAAGGACGGGCUCGAUGUAAUGGUGAAUGUGCCAAAGAAAGCUAAUGAUGCCAUGCAUUUAAGCAUGCUAGAAGGUUUAGAGGAUAAUUUAGAAGCUUUAGGUGAAGUACUUUUACAAGAUAACUUCACAGUCUGGGAACCAAAGAACUUGAUAAAGAAAGGAAGAGAGAGACGUAUCUUCUUAUUUGAGAUGUGUCUCGUCUUUGCUAAAGAAAUUAAAGACAGUAAUGGAAAAUCAAAAUAUAUGUAUAAAACCAAGUUACUUAUUUCAGAAAUCAACAUCACUGAACAUAUAGAAGGUGAUGAAUGCAAGUUUGCACUUUGGACAGGAAGAGCACCAAUUUCUGAUUACAGAAUAAUUUUGAAGGCAUCAUCACUGGAUACAAAACAGCAGUGGGUGAAGAAGAUGAGAGAGUUAAUCCAAGAACGUCUCGUCUAUAUGCACUCUGCCUUGAAAGAACCUCUAACAAAAUCUGUCGCAGCACCAAAGAUGUUUGUUAACAGAACAAGUCGGGAUAUGGAAAGUGACACAGCAUCUCUAGAUGAAGUCCAUAUUGAACGUCGCGCUAGUCUGGUGUCAGUAAACUCCAACACCACCACUGCCACAACAGACAGUAGCAGUAGCAGUGGCAGCAGCAACAGAUGUUCUUCAGAUGUUACAGUUGUCAUUGUUGACUAUUCAGCUACAUCUACAUGGGACCUGAGUGUUCAGAAGGGUCAGCAAGUAGAACUAAUAGAUGUUUGCCCUCCUGGACAGCCGGAAUGGUGCCUUGUGCGUACAUUACCUACCGAGGUGAAAGAGUCUAGUCAAGGUCUUGUUCCAAUGUCUGCACUUAAACCGGUUCCAAUUUUGAAAGUAUCAUCUGCUGCAGGGACGCGCACAAGUGCCGACUUAGAUGAUUCCUCCAGUAAUUCCAAUGAGCCAAGUCCAAAUGCUUCAAAUGCUUCACUUAAUAAUUCUUCAGCAUCCCCCGUUACCAAAAGACGCAGUAGUUUCCGGAUGCCAAAAUUCAAAACCAGGACCAUGCCUACUUCAGCAAAACCGACAAGGAAAUGGUUGAUAGAUCCAGUUCGUAAAUUAAGUCACAGCAAAAUAGAGAAAGGUGGUCUGGAGAAACACACAGUACCACCAUUUGAACUGAAAGCUGACAGAAUACAGAAGAAAACUGUUGCUAACCUCUCCGCUAUGAAGGAGGCCUCUGAUAGCACAGAACUAAUCCAACCUCAAAUCGCCAUGGUUACCCAGAAGUCUGCUCUUGAAGUUACAAGUGAAGAGGAUCCAGAAUCAGCAUAUGAUAUUGAAAUGCCACCUCCAAUGGCAAUCCAGGAGCACACAUUUGCUGCAACCCAGCCUUCAACAUCAGAUGAAAGCCAUACAAAGCUAGCCUCAACACUUUCUCUGAAGGCACAAACAGAUGCUGCAACAGCAGCAGCUAGUGCUGUAGACUUGGCUACAGCACUAGAAAACAUUGUCAAACAGAAGAUGGAACAAACUGAGCCUGGUUCAACAUCAGCUUCUUCAUCAUUAACUCAAGCUAGUACCACUACUACUAAUACUACAACUAGCACAACUGCUGGAAGUGGAGAUCAAGCAGAAACAACAGAAGAGCAGACAAAGGGUUCGAGUGGUGGUGGAGGAGGAGGAGGCAGCAGCAGCAGCGGAGAUGUAGCAAAUAAAGAAAAAUAUAUUCUUAAAAGAAAUUAUGUGAUAAAAGAGUUGGUUGAAACUGAGAGGGACUAUGUUAAAGACCUUGGUCUUAUUAUUGAGGGCUACAUGGGCUACCUUAAAGAGAAUCCAUUGAGAGACGGCAUGGAAGGAAAAGAUAAGAUAAUAUUUGGUAAUAUUCAUCAGAUAUAUGAUUGGCAUCGAGAAAUAUUUCAACCUGAAUUAGAAAAAUGUAUAGAAGAACCUGAUAAGCUAGGAUCUGUGUUUGUAAGAUAUGAAAGACGGUUGUAUAUGUAUGUAAAAUAUUGUGAAAACAAACCAAAAUCUGAUUUUUUAGUUGCAGAAUAUAUAGAUUCAUUUUUUGAGGACAUCAGACAAAAAUUAGGUCAUCGACUUCAGCUUCAAGACCUGCUUAUCAAACCUGUUCAAAGAAUUAUGAAAUAUCAGCUUUUAUUAAAGGAUAUUUUAACACAUACUCAGAAAGCUGGUUUGGAUACUGCUGACAUACAGAAGGCUGUGACUGUGAUGUGUGUUGUACCAAAAGCUGCAAAUGAUAUGAUGCAGGUUGGCCGCCUACAAGGGUUUGAUGGUAAAUUAACUGCACAAGGAAAGUUAUUACUUCAGGAAACCCUGCUGGUUGGUGAAGUCACAGAAGGUAGUCACUCCAAAUUUAGAGAAAGACGAGUGUUUCUUUUUGAACAGAUCAUAAUUUUUAGUGAAGUGAUUGAGGACAAGAAAAGGGGCAGUUUUUCUGAUGCCAAUUAUAUUUAUAAAAACAGUGUAACGGUUAAUAAAAUGUCUAUGAAUGAAAAUGCAGAAGGAGAUGAUUUAAAAUUUAUUCUUAUCGAUAGAACACCUGAUAGUAAUAUGAAAUAUAUUAUUCAAGCACCUACAGAAGAAAUCAGAGAUGAGUGGAUUGCUCAAAUCCGUUCUAUAUUAGAUAUGCAGGGCGAUUUCCUACGAGCUCUUCAAUCACCAAUUGCCUAUCAGAAAGAACGGACAAAAGAGCUAUCAACACCUGAUUUUGGAACACUUGCUAAAGAAGCUCUCUUAAAGAAUUCUGGUAAAGCCCAAGCCAAAUUAAACCACUUACAAACUGCGCACACUAUUCCAUCUAGUGGUAUUAGUUCAAAGAAUAAAUCCGGCCGAUUAGAGACAUCCAAACAUGCAAGAUGUCGAUCUGUACCAGGUCCCUGGCCAACAGAUGUCACUCAUUUAGAGGACCAACUCGAAACACGGGAAAACCAAUUUUCUUGCCCAAAUUCGCCAUUAGAUUCUAAACAAACGACACAUGAUUCAAAAAAACCUACAGACUUGAAGAAAAUUCCAUCGUCUUCUUCAUCUCCAACAAACAGUCAGGUGGGAUCUCCAAAACCAAAGAAAACAAUUUUUGAAGGAUUCCGAAAUACUUUACGAAAGUCAAAAGGAGAUCUUUCUGGGACAAAAUCAUCUGAAAGUUUCACUAAUGCUCAUUCGAUGCCUGAUAUUGUACAAGAAAAUAAAGAAAGAUCUAACAGUGAUUCUAUAAGUUCAAAAACCAUUGGAAUGGACAUUAGCCAAUCAGAUUUAGAAACAAUUCCGAGUGGUGGUGAUGGUGGCAACUAUUCAUUAGCCAGGGUAAUUGCUGACUACAGUGCUAUCAAGGAAGAUGAAAUCUCCGUUAACAAAGGAGAGAAAGUUCAAAUCUUAACAACAAACCAAAAUAAUAUGUUUCUUGUCCACAGAGCAGCUAAUGAGGUUUCACCAGCAGCUGAAGGAUGGAUUCCAGGAGUUGUCUUAGGCUCAGUUGAUGAAGGUGGAAGUCUCAAGUUAAAAAACAUCAUGGCAAAUGUUCAAGUUACGUAAAUCUAGUUUGAAGAGAGAAUCUGACAGCAAAAAUACUUUGGAACGGAAAAGUAGGAGUUUGGGUCGAGAUGGCAAACUACCAUCAUCAACAUCAAAAAUGAGUAGUUCUGAUUUUAUUUAUGAAGUUGCACCAACCAUUCAGCAGGCUCUCGCCGAUAUAACAGUAAACGCAGGAGAAGAGGCUGUGUUAACUUGUCGUAUCUGUGGUCGCCCCAGACCAACUAUCACUUGGAAGUC
RNAcentral lists this unclassified non-coding RNA (8636 nucleotides) under Octopus sinensis (East Asian common octopus). RNAcentral's name for it is "kalirin, transcript variant X5". Lineage: Eukaryota; Metazoa; Mollusca; Cephalopoda; Octopoda; Octopodidae. The record is from RNAcentral.